Molecule: non-coding RNA, 30 nt
Filed under: Mus musculus (house mouse)
Lineage: Eukaryota; Metazoa; Chordata; Mammalia; Rodentia; Muridae
Source: RNAcentral
UACUAUGAAAGUGGAAAGAAGUUGGAACAU